AAUAGAUACCCAGGUAGUCCUAGCCGUAAACGAUGAACACUAGGCGUAGUCGGUAUCGACCCCGGCUGUGCCGUAGCUAACGCAUUAAGUGUUCCGCCUGGGGAGUACGGCCGCAAGGCUAAAACUCAAAGGAAUUGACGGGGGGCCCGCGCAAGCAGCGGAGCGUGUGGUUUAAUUCGUCGCAACGCGAAGGACCUUACCAGGGCUUGACAUGUGGCGGAAAACGGCGGAAACGUCGUCCUCCCGCAAGGGACCGUCAUGCAGGUGUUGCAUGGCUGUCGUCAGCUCGUGUCGUGAGAUGUUGGGUUAAGUCCCGCAACGAGCGCAACCCCCGUGGCAUGUUGUAUCUCUCAUGCCAGACUGCCGAGAGAAACUCGGAGGAAGGUGGGGAUGACGCCAAGUCAGCAUGGCCCUUACGUCCUGGGCUACACACACGCUACAAUGGCCGGUACAACGGGUUGCCAAACCGCGAGGUGGAGCUAACCCCUUAAAGCCGGUCUCAGUUCGGAUUGCAGGCUGCAACUCGCCUGCAUGAAGGCC
Molecule: ribosomal RNA, 540 nt
Filed under: uncultured bacterium
Lineage: Bacteria
Description: bacterial SSU rRNA
Rfam family: Bacterial small subunit ribosomal RNA
Source: RNAcentral